This 1411-nucleotide small RNA is filed under the name Pongo abelii (Sumatran orangutan). RNAcentral's name for it is "retained intron". The record is from RNAcentral. Lineage: Eukaryota; Metazoa; Chordata; Mammalia; Primates; Hominidae.
ACAAAUGGGGCUUGUGGGGUCCUUGGGUGGCAGAGGCUGAGCGUGGGAAAGUGAGCUUCAGGCCAGAGAAGCCACAAAAGGGCCAGCUGCGGGCCGUCCAGCGGCUGUGCCACUUCUACAGUGCCGUCAUGCCCAGCGAGGCCCAGUGUGUCAUCUACCAUGAGCUCCAGCUCUCCCUGGCCUGCAAGGUGGCCGACAAGGUGCUGGAGGGGCAGCUCCUGGAGACCAUCAGCCAGUUCUACCUGUCCCUGGGCACUGAGCGGGCCUACAAAUCCGCACUGGACUACACCAAACGGAGUCUGGGGAUUUUCAUUGACCUCCAGAAGAAAGAGAAGGAGGCGCAUGCCUGGCUGCAAGCAGGAAAGAUCUAUUACAUCUUGCGACAGAGCGAGCUGGUUGACCUGUACAUCCAGGUGGCGCAGAAUGUGGCCCUGUACACAGGCGACCCCAACCUGGGGCUAGAGCUGUUUGAGGCGGCUGGAGACAUCUUCUUCAAUGGGGCCUGGGAGCGGGAGAAAGCCGUGUCCUUCUACCGGGUGAGCUGGCCUAUGGGCUGAUGUGGGUGGGCCCCAGGGGGGCACCUUGAGGGCUGAGGCACAGGUGUGGUCGGGCAGAGGCCUCCCACCUGGAGGCAGGGCCACCCAUGCACAUGCUUAGUUUCCUAGUGGUUUCACCAGGAAUGAUAUUGACUGUGCCCCCACCGCCCGGGACAAACACUUGGGGCCUGAACACAGCAAUGGCCUUACCCUUGCACCUGAUGAUCUCAAGCAACCUUGAGUGGGAAGUCCCGUCCCCAUUUGACAGAUGACGAAACUGAGGCUCAGAGAGGCACAAGGACAUGUCAAAGGACACACAGCAUGCCAGUGGGAGGCCCAGGGCCAGGGCCCAGGUCUCCAUGCACCCCGAAGUGGGGACGGCUUCUCCCUUCCUCUGAGCUCACGGUGUGGCUCAGUCCUGGGCACAGAUAAAUGUGGUGUUUUUAGAGCAGAGAGGAGUGCUGGCUCCCCCCAGGCAGAUCCCCGGUGCCCAGGUGGGAGGGGCUGGUCUGAGGCUGCCAGGUGUAGCUGGAUGGGCCUCAGGUGACUCUUCAGCCUCCAGUUUGGGUGUCUGAACCGCCCUUUAUCUCAGAGCACAGAGCUGUGUCAAGGCCUAGGGGUAGCUGGGGUGUGGGAAGCUCCGAGCACGUGUUUGAGUUCUGAGGAGGGCGCUGGGCAAGGUGGGUGCUGCAGGAAGCCUGACCCCAUCUACCUGUGUGGCAGGACCGGGCCCUGCCCCUGGCAGUGACUACGGGCAACCGCAAGGCAGAGCUGCGGCUGUGCAACAAGCUGGUGGCACUGCUGGCCACGCUGGAGGAGCCCCGGGAGGGCUUGGAGUUUGCCCACACGGCCCUAGCACUCAGCAUCACCCUGGG